GAACACAAGGUCGAGAAGUACCCUUGUGGUACGUUUUGUGAUGAGUGAUUGUCAACGUGAUCCACGAAUAGGUUGAGUUGGUGACUAACAUUACCAUGGCGAAAGCUACGUGUGCGACAUGUCUCUUGGCUUGUGGUGUUCAGCUGUGGAGCUCGGAGGCGGUGGUCGACGGCGAGGUGAAGGUCAAGUAGAGACGUGCCGUGCUGAUGGACCUGGAGCGGUGAAGGACGGACGUGAGGCUUGGACUGACGGACCAGGAGGCCGGGUGACCAGCCGUAGUGGCUGACAUCUGGGACAUCGACAAGUGCGAGUGUACAUGGGAGUGACCGUGUUGACCAAGUCAAGACGGCAGACGCGAGUCGAGCGAGGCUCAGGAGGACUUAGCGGGCCGGCCAGUCGAGGACGGCGGUGACACGUGUCGAGUGGCGGGGAAGCAUAUGGAGUACGCUACUCGUGGCGGGUUUCGCGGGUUUGGGCCUCAAAACCCGGGCGGAGGUCCCGAUGCGGACGGAUGGCACGUGGCGGCAUCGAUGAGAUCGCUUCGGAGCGAGGCUACCGGUGAGGAGGCGCGGUGGCCGUCGGAUUUAGGUCAUGUCGAGUUGGACUAGAAUGC
RNAcentral lists this long non-coding RNA (613 nucleotides) under Sorghum bicolor (sorghum). Its description in RNAcentral is "long non-coding RNA (SBIC_LNC015055)". The record is from RNAcentral. Lineage: Eukaryota; Viridiplantae; Streptophyta; Magnoliopsida; Poales; Poaceae.